Molecule: unclassified non-coding RNA, 377 nt
Filed under: uncultured Micrococcaceae bacterium
Lineage: Bacteria; Bacillati; Actinomycetota; Actinomycetes; Micrococcales; Micrococcaceae
Description: contains 16S-23S intergenic spacer region
Source: RNAcentral
UCCGAGUUGACCCCGGCAGUCUCCCAUGAGUCCCCAACUAAAUGCUGGCAACAUAGAACGAGGGUUGCGCUCGUUGCGGGACUUAACCCAACAUCUCACGACACGAGCUGACGACAACCAUGCACCACCUGUGAACCGACCCCAAAGGGGAAGGACUGUUUCCAGCCCGGUCCGGUCCAUGUCAAGCCUUGGUAAGGUUCUUCGCGUUGCAUCGAAUUAAUCCGCAUGCUCCGCCGCUUGUGCGGGCCCCCGUCAAUUCCUUUGAGUUUUAGCCUUGCGGCCGUACUCCCCAGGUGGGGCACUUAAUGCGUUAGCGCCGGCACGGGGGGAGUCGACACCCCCCACACCUAGUGCCCAUCGUUUACGGCUAGGACUAC